GACGUAGGGGGCGAGCGUUGUCCGGAUUUAUUGGGCGUAAAGCGUGCGUAGGCGGCUGCGCAAGUCGGUUGUGAAACCCCGGGGCUCAACCCCGGAACUGCAUCCGAUACUGCCAUGCUAGAGGAUUGGAGAGGUAGCUGGAAUUCUUGGUGUAGCAGUGAAAUGCGUGGAUAUCAAGAGGAACACUCGUGGCGAAAGCGAGCUACUGGACAAUUCCUGACGCUGAGGCUCGAAGGCUAGGGUAGCGAAAGGG
RNAcentral lists this ribosomal RNA (253 nucleotides) under uncultured bacterium. RNAcentral describes it as "partial 16S ribosomal RNA". It matches the Rfam family "Bacterial small subunit ribosomal RNA", at positions 524 to 776 of the family's 1533-position model. The record is from RNAcentral.